This 1072-nucleotide ribosomal RNA is filed under the name Salmonella enterica subsp. enterica serovar Heidelberg. Its description in RNAcentral is "bacterial LSU rRNA". It matches the Rfam family "Bacterial large subunit ribosomal RNA", at positions 1 to 1211 of the family's 2925-position model. Lineage: Bacteria; Pseudomonadati; Pseudomonadota; Gammaproteobacteria; Enterobacterales; Enterobacteriaceae. The record is from RNAcentral.
GGGUUGUGAGGUUAAGCGACUAAGCGUACACGGUGGAUGCCCUGGCAGUCAGAGGCGAUGAAGGGCGUGCUAAUCUGCGAUAAGCGCCGGUAAGGUGAUAUGAACCGUUAUAACCGGCGAUACCCGAAUGGGGAAACCCAGUGUGACUCGUCACACUAUCAUUAACUGAAUCCAUAGGUUAAUGAGGCGAACCGGGGGAACUGAAACAUCUAAGUACCCCGAGGAAAAGAAAUCAACCGAGAUUCCCCCAGUAGCGGCGAGCGAACGGGGAGGAGCCCAGAGCCUGAAUCAGCAUGUGUGUUAGUGGAAGCGUCUGGAAAGGCGCGCGAUACAGGGUGACAGCCCCGUACACAAAAGCGCAUGUGCUGUGAGCUCGAUGAGUAGGGCGGGACACGUGGUAUCCUGUCUGAAUAUGGGGGGACCAUCCUCCAAGGCUAAAUACUCCUGACUGACCGAUAGUGAACCAGUACCGUGAGGGAAAGGCGAAAAGAACCCCGGCGAGGGGAGUGAAAAAGAACCUGAAACCGUGUACGUACAAGCAGUGGGAGCGGGCGUUAAGUUGCAGGGUAUAGACCCGAAACCCGGUGAUCUAGCCAUGGGCAGGUUGAAGGUUGGGUAACACUAACUGGAGGACCGAACCGACUAAUGUUGAAAAAUUAGCGGAUGACCUGUGGCUGGGGGUGAAAGGCCAAUCAAACCGGGAGAUAGCUGGUUCUCCCCGAAAGCUAUUUAGGUAGCGCCUCGUGAAUUCAUCUCCGGGGGUAGAGCACUGUUUCGGCUAGGGGGCCAUCCCGGCUUACCAACCCGAUGCAAACUGCGAAUACCGGAGAAUGUUAUCACGGGAGACACACGGCGGGUGCUAACGUCCGUCGUGAAGAGGGAAACAACCCAGACCGCCAGCUAAGGUCCCAAAGUCAUGGUUAAGUGGGAAACGAUGUGGGAAGGCCCAGACAGCCAGGAUGUUGGCUUAGAAGCAGCCAUCAUUUAAAGAAAGCGUAAUAGCUCACUGGUCGAGUCGGCCUGCGCGGAAGAUGUAACGGGGCUAAACCAUGCACCGAAGCUGCGGCAGCGA